UCCUGGGAGCAAGAUGGCUGCCACCCAGCGCGAGCUGUUCGUUUUUGAGGUGGUGUGGGGACUCUACUGAGGCGAACCGAGCGGGUCUCUUGCGGCUCUGCUCCCCCAGCCUGUGAGCAGCGCCCGCGACCUUUGCUGAGCCCAGCGCUGCCCAGAACGCGUUCCCCUCUGACCCUGGCCUUGGGAGAGUUGGUGAGAUCUGUUAUCGUGACCUCGGACCGCAUUCCAAACUCUCAUGCCCAUUCAUUCCGUAAACUCCGCAGUCCUGGCCCCUUAGAAGAAGGAACUCACAGAGAAGGUGGGGAAUUAUGGAAAACAUCUUUACUGCAGGGGCUGGUGGGCUGGCAGAGGAGGUGGAGGACAGAGUUCUUCAUGCUGCUUCUGUUCCUUUUGGAGACAUCGCAGAUACUUAGUUUCUUCUGGUGAAACAGUGUGGGCAGUGAUGACUGCCCGAAGAAGUUUUCCGGGAAGACUCUCGAAGAGAAUAGAGAGGAAGAAGGGUCGGAGCCUGCCAGAGGGGAACCCAGGAGGGGGAGCCCAUGGCAAAAAAGGCCCGCUCAAACCCUCAGGUGUACAUGGACACCAAGACUGGGAACAAGCCAGCCGGCCGCAUCCAGAUGCUGCUGCGUCCGGACGUUGUCCCCGUGAUGGCAGGAAACCUCUUUAUUGGGCAAAGCCAGCCUACCCUUGGCCUACAAGGGACAAGGAAUGUGGAGAAGGAGGCAGGGAUCUCGCAAGGUCAGGGACCCAGACAUUUUGCGGGGCCAGCAGAGGGCAGAAGCGAGGGUGUUGAAUUUAUUCCUAAGUUUUUUAUUUUUUUGCUGUUAUUGGAAAUGGGGUUAUUUCUUUUUUCAAAGAUUUUAUUUAU
Long non-coding RNA from Lontra canadensis (Northern American river otter), 868 nucleotides. RefSeq lists it as uncharacterized. The transcript is spliced from 5 exons. The record is from RefSeq and is a predicted model, not a curated record. Lineage: Eukaryota; Metazoa; Chordata; Mammalia; Carnivora; Mustelidae.